AGCCCUGCGCUUCCCCAGGUGAACCGGGCAGGAGCCUGUUGGGAAGGCAGCGACCCACAUCUGUGUGCACCUUUGUGGAUUUCAGGUUCCGGACGCAGGCGACCAAGCCAGAGCCAGCGCUGUCAUACGCAGAGCACCUGCCGAGCCAUGUGACGUGCUGCUCUCUGCCAGCCCUGAUCGCCUUCCUUUCCAGCAGGACUUGCGCUUCACACUGGACCUUGAGGCCCCAUGGAGAUCUGCCAUUUUGGGCAGGUUCUGCUCACAGUGCCAGUAACUUCACCUAGGAGAAGAGCGACAACUUCAAGGCCGCAUGACCCAUCUGAUUGUCAUCACACAGGUCCCCGCAGGAGAAUUUCCAUGGCGUUUCUCACUCUUUGUUUGCAAAGAAUUUCUUUUUUUAUCGUUUUCUUUUUCUUUUUCUAUUUUCUUUUUUCUUUUUUUUUUGAGACAGAGUCUCUCUCUGUUGCCCAGGCUGGAGUGCAGUGGCAUGACCUCGGCUCACUGCAACCUCGGCCUCCUGGGUUCAAGCAAUUCUCCUGCCUCAGCCUCCCGAGUAGCUGGGAUUACGGGCACACACCACAACGCUCAGCUAAUUUUUGUAUUUUUAGAAAAGACAGGGUUUUACCAUGUUGGCCAGGCUGGUCUCGAUCUUCUGAGCUCGUGAUCCACCUGCCUCGGCCUCCAAAGUGCUGGGAUUACAGGCGUGAGCCACCACACCCAGCCUAAGAAUUUCUUAGAAUUAAUAUCUGCACUUGGCCCCACAUCCUCUGAGUGAUAACUUAGAACUGUCACUUUAAUUGUUGAGAGAGGAUAUUCAGAGAAUAGUGGGUGAUUUUACAAGCAAGGAUAUGUUUGGGGAGCAUGUUCCCGGUGCAUUCUCAGGGUCUCGUGCAUUCUUUUAGACAUUGAAGACAUCCUGAUCUCCAGUGGAAGCAGAGCCCCAGUCAUACACUUAUCCACCGGGGACGAGUUCCAAGACCCCCAGGGAAUGCCUGAAAGCUCGGGUAGUGCUUACCUCUAUGGAUGUUGUGCACAAAUUUAUUUUUCCCUCUUUACAACUUCAUAGAUUGAAGGUUCGUUCUUACCAAAGAUCUUAGCAACCUUAGCUUAUCAUUCCUUUUAUUUCCUGAUUAAGUGGAGAACUUUCACCUUUUCACUAAAAAAAAAAAGUGCUUUACGGCUGCCUUUGCCACGUGCACAUGGUCUUUUGGGACCAUCCUUAAGUCAAAUAAGGGUGACCUGGAUGCAAGCACUGUGAUACAGAGAAAGUCCAGCUCACCACCAAGAUGGCUGCUGAGCCGCUGGUGGGCGCGGAGUGUCGUGUCUGCAGCGUGAACAUGCCGGGCAAAGGAAUAAUGCAUGUCAGGGAUAGGGUGGAGAAGGACUGUGCCAGGCUUCAUCACACUACUCAGAAUGGCACACAGUUUAGAACUUAUAAAUGAUUUAUUUCUGGAGUGAUCCACUGCAUAUUUUCAGACGGUGGUUGAUCGUGGGUAACUGAAAGCAAAACCUGACUGAAAGGGGCUGCUGUGUUCAUGUCAGCAACGCUGAUGCCCUCGAGGCCAGAAGAGUAACCACCAAUCUGGUACCUGAGCACCUGGCUGUAAGUCCACCCUCCAUUUCUGGCCAGGGCCGAGGAAUUCUCUCUUUUUCUCUUUAUUUUCCUCUUGAUUUGAGAAGGUCAACUCUGAGCAUGCUCUAAACACAAAUCAGCAUCUCUACACUUCUUCGGCACCAGGUGUUGCUACUGUCUUUCUGAUUAGAAAAAAAGAAAUAUCCAGGAAUUCUGGAAGACAGUGAUUGAUUUGCAGCUAUGCUGCAAUGGAGCUAAGAAUCAUUAGCACAACCCGUGCUGGUGUUCGACAAGAUGCCCAAUCAAUUCAUCCGAUGACAGGUGCGCUGUGUCUGCGAAGCGCGAAGCCACGGAGUGAGGUGCUGACCAGGCUCCACCAGGAGCAAGGAACAAGACUCCCCAGGGGCUCCUGGUCCACAGAAGGCAGGGACGCCCACAAACAUACCAUGAGUAAAUAGUUCCAAUGUGAAGAAGACUGAAAAUGCCACAGAAGUGUGAGCCCACUGUUUUGAAAUUCUUUCUGCUGAAGGGAUUGAGAAGAACUCUUCCAUAAAGGAGCAUGACCGAGCCAUGAGUUAUAAUAUAUACAUGCAUAUAGAAAGAGGAUGUGAAUACAGUUGCAGAAGGGCGUCAAAGCCAAAAACACACAGGGAAUGACUUGAGGAAGCUGAGGACCAAGAGCAGUGCUAGCCAUGCCAGUGACUGUGGUCGCUGAGAACUGGAUGAUGGAUGUUUGAGUGACCGUCAGGAGGAUCAGCAUGGGACCAGGAGGAUCAGCAUGGGACCAGGAGGAUCAGCAUGGGACCAGGAGGAUCAGCAUGGGACCAGGAAACAGCAGGCGAGUGAAUGUGAACUCCACUCUCAACAGGGAGAUGACGUGGGUCUCGGAAACCUACAGAUCUGAGUGCUUGCUGUCAGGUCAUGGCAGGGCUCUGACUGCACUGUGGAGGGAACAUCUGUGUUUUUGUCCUCCUGGAACCUAGUGCCCCUUUCCUGGAGGCAGCAUCCUAUUUGACCUGUGUGGGUCCAACCCCACCUCUCUCCUGUAGCAGUGGCAUGGGACCCGGGGCUGGGCCAUUCGCAGCAUUGCCACAGGCAGCAAUGGUGAUUGAUCUAGGAGUUGAUCAUUGAUCCUAACUGGGUGCUCAGGCCAAGGGGAUUGAUUCUUGGUAUUUUUUAAUCUCUUUUUUCCACUGGAAUUAUAGCUAAUAUGAUGAAGCCUAGAUAUACUGCGUAUCUGGCUUUUAGACAGGGCAAACCUGCCUAGAAAUGAAAAUGAAGUCACCACCUGUGAAAGCAGAAACAAGAGCUUGAGAGAGACUGAGUCCUGGUGAGAAUUUCUGAACCCCUUGAUCCAGCGAUGCCUGAAGCCAGAACUACUUGUAAACUUUUCAGUCAUGCAAUCCUGUCACUUCUGUUUGUUCUUAAGUGCAUUUUGUAUGGUUUCUGCCGCUGACCACGGAAACGUCCUUCACUAACAGGGAAGCAGAGUUACCCCAUUUGAGAGCCUCAGAAGGAAGAUGGCAUUCAUGCAAAGGAAGCAUGCGUUUGCUCUCACUUCCUGAGAGAAAGCCUGAAAAUGAAGCCAAUCUCAUUUUCUUUCAGAGAUGAGUCUCUUGAUCAGAGAAUGCCUCAGUUCCCUGUAUCUGAAUUUUAGCAAGCGAGAGAAUGCAUUUAGGACAAGCAACAGCGAUGGCUCCCGUGUGUUCUUGGCUGCUCUGUUUCUAAAUGAAGAUUCACCUGGAGGCAGCCUUUGCUGCAGGGACACCCAGAUCUCACCUUGUUCUUGUUCUUUUCAAUCAUUUUAGCAAAGGCUCAGCCUACUGAUCCGAUUUAGAGAUGAGCCAUGAAAGCAGAUAUUUAGAUAAUAUUUUCCCAACUGCCUGGAGCAUUAGGUUAGAACUAGUGAGAUAAAAAUAUAAUGAAAAUAAUAGAAAGCUUUGACCCUCAGAUUU
Molecule: long non-coding RNA, 3528 nt
Filed under: Homo sapiens (human)
Lineage: Eukaryota; Metazoa; Chordata; Mammalia; Primates; Hominidae
Description: non-protein coding LINC02418:13
Source: RNAcentral